Long non-coding RNA from Gadus morhua (Atlantic cod), 1980 nucleotides. NCBI's taxonomy places the organism in Eukaryota, Metazoa, Chordata, Actinopteri, Gadiformes, Gadidae. The record is from Ensembl.
CGAUAAUAGAAAAUAUAGGUAAUGAUAGUUUGUCACCUGUGUAAUAUAUAAACAUAUGCAAAUUGCAAAACAAUGUAAAGUAAAUAACAUAACAUAACCCGCAGGGAGAACACUUUUUAGGGGCCAUUCCGAAAGAAAGAGAAUUUUAGAGUGGGAGAAAAGGCUCCAAAGCCACUUAUUGCUCACCUACGGAGGCGACAUUGCCCUCUCGUUGCCACGGUCUAAGAAGGCCUGUAGCUCCGUGUCUGACUCCCUCCUGGAGCAGCUGGACGCUGUAGGGUCGGGCCGCGGCUCCCUCCCUUGGAAGGGAUCUGGGGACGGACCUCUGGGAUGGUUGCGACCCCAAGACGCCCUCCUUAGCCGGGUCGCUGGAGUCACUGGAUGCAGGCUCUGGCGUUUUGGCUGCCUUGGUCUUCCUCAUACUGGGAAUAAAUAAGUGUAAGAGUUGUCAUGAUGACAAGCACAGUCGAACACCAUGAUUCUGAACAAGGAUGGAGGCAAAGUUAUCACAAUUAAAAUAAAACAUUUAUUCAAAUAAAAUGUGCGUAAAAAUAUAACUAUUUGCUACUAUAGAUAAUACAAAAACUAUAAUUGAAUAACAAAAUUAAAAGAAUUCUGUAAACCGUAAUACCAGCGACUGAAGCAUGAUCAGCCUAUACUAUACAUUAUUAUCUACUCUGGUUUCUGUCAGAAAAAUGUUGUCAUCCACUCACUGACAGUCGUAGCGUAGGCAUAUGUAACGUACCGUUAGAAUAGCGUGGUUCUCGCCUCUGUGGUGCUGCAUGUGGUGAGGGAAGCAGCACACGGUGUACCAGCACCCAUCAGGGCAAACUAAAAGCUUUUUAUAGACUAUAUCUGACAGCCCAGCGAUGGCCAUACCUAGCUAACAAGGCUAGCGACAAGGUUUUCAUACCCUAGCUGUUUCUAAAUUCCCUAAAAGGAGAGGUAAUUUAAUAACUUGUAUUGCACGCCCCUUAUCUCUCUAAACCCCCCCUUCUCUCCUCUCUCUCUCUGUCUCUGUCUCUCUCUUUCUCGCUUACUCUCUCUUCUCUCUCUCUCUUUCUCUCACUGAUUCUCUCUUUCUUUCUGACUCUUUUUCUUUCUGACUCUCUUUUUCUAUCUCUCUCUUUCUCUAUCUCUUUCUCCCACUGAUUCGCUCUUUCUCUCAGUCUCUCUCUUUCUCUCACUCUCUCUUAUUUCUAUCUCUCUUUCUCACACAAAUUUUCUUUCUCUAAUCUGUCCUCCUCCUCUCUCCUGUAUAAAGGAUUCUCCCUCCCUCCCUCCCUCCCUCCCUCCCUCUCUCCCCCUCUAUCUCUAUCUCCCACUCUAUCUCUUUUUCCCUCUCUAUCCCCUCCCUCACUAUCUCGAUUAUAUUAUGGUGGUGGUAUAGUCUGACUGUCAGCAGAGUUAAAGAGAGAAAGAGAGAGUGAAAGAGAGAGACAGAGAAAGAGAGACAGAGAUAGAGAGAGAGAAUGAAUACUUCAUUCUUUCACCCACAGGAGGACAUUCCUUGAGUGUGUGUGUUUGUGUGUGUGUGCGUUGUUCUGUAGACUGCUACUGUAACAUUGUCACGCUACUCUACAUUUUGCAGAUCUUGCAUUAUAUAUAUAUUUGAACUUGAACUUGUAAUGGUCUGGGACUCUGAUAAUUCUACUACUACUAUUACUACUACUACUAGUUCUAAUAAUACUACAACCACUACUACAAACUAAUAAUAAAUAAUGCCUUUGCAGUGAUGGAAUAUAGUUCUAAAAGAUUGAAUCAUGGCCGUUUUAUGCUUAUAAAAACAUCACAUUCUUCCACCUAAUGAAUAGUCAGAUUGCUAGCUCCCUCUCAAACAAUACGAGUUAUGUAUCAAGGCAAACAACAUAUAUUCACGUUUCCAGACCAAACAACCUAUAAUUCCAUCCAUGAGUUACAUUCUUAGGGACCUGGAAAUCUGAGUAUAUUUUAAUGCACUUUGAGAAUCCUAUGCAAACC